CGCACAUUGCGCCCCUUGGUAUUCCGGGGGGCAUGCCUGUUCGAGCGUCAUUAUCACCCCUCAAGCCUAGCUUGGUGUUGGGGCAUGCCUGUCACAGGGCAGCCCUUAAAAUCAGUGGCGAUGCCGUCCAGGCCCUAAGCGUAGUAACCAUUCCUCGCUACAGGGCUCGGGCAGCGUUCACCAAAACCCCCCAAUUUUAGAACGAUUGACCUCGGAUCAGGUAGGGAUACCCGCUGAACUUAA
RNAcentral lists this unclassified non-coding RNA (243 nucleotides) under Ascomycota sp. Its description in RNAcentral is "partial contains 5.8S ribosomal RNA, internal transcribed spacer 2, and large subunit ribosomal RNA". Lineage: Eukaryota; Fungi; Ascomycota. The record is from RNAcentral.